UCCAAUAUCCCCAAUAUUAACUCCUCCCAUAAAUCUACAUACCAGUUAACAACUGGAGAGCCAGUGCAGACUGACCAGGAACACCCACAGGCUAAAGAAAACAAAGUUAGUCGUAAUUGCUAUGCCUGUGUUUGUUUGGUGCAAGCCACGGGAGAAAGGACCUGGGAUCUUCAUCCCUCUAAGCAUGGUCCCUUUUAGUUGCCCUGGACACCAAAUGUACAUCCUGAUACUAGCCACUAUGAGACAUGCUAGCUCUGGGAGCUGAGGAGCUCCUGUGAAGCCACACUACAGAUGCCUAGUGGGCUGAGGAAGACCAAACUCUAGUCCACCAAGCAAGGAUAACAUCCUUGCUAUACUUCUUGACCCCAGUAACCACCAGCUUCGAAUGACUGCUGUAUGGGGAGGAGGAAGAGGAGGAGGAGGAGGACCCAAGACAGGAGGAGCUUCGAACUCUUCAUGAGGCAGAGCCAGACAUACCAGGAUGAAGAGAAGCUGACAGGCUGGCCUGCCUGCAGCCAUUACUGCUCCCACUAUAACCCUCCCACCAAAUGACACACCUGCUUCAUUCUAGUCCUAGAGCAUGAGGGGUGUGGUUUUAAGAAAGAAACAAGCAGCUUUGUUGAAACAUAUUUUUAGUGUCCAGUACAAUUUGUAGCUCAUUAUAAACAAUUCAGUGCAGUUUUAUAAACCUACAAAGUUGUGUAACCGUCAGUACAAUACAUCUUUAGGACAUGGCGCUCACAGGCCCCAAAGUUCUACACUUAGUCCAUACCACAUUAAUCACAGCCACAAUUAAUCCCCAUGCUCACCCUCAGCUAUAAGCGACCAUUACUCUAUUUUCUCUCUCCAUAAAUCUCCCUUCUCUAAGCAUUUCAUUAAAAUAGCACACAAUUGUAAAUUUUGCACCUGGUUUCUUUCACUUUGUGGCUUUUUGAGAAUGUCCUGUUCCUGGUCUGUUCCAUGGCUAAGUGGAAGUUUAUCCGAUGGAUCUGCUGUUUUGUUUACUCUCUCACCAGCCAAUGAACACAUUUGGAUCGUCUCCAGUUUCUAGUUAUUAUGAAUAGAGCAGUUGUGAAUAAUUCCACCCAGACCUUUGUGUAGGUAUAUGCUUUCAUUCCACUUGGGUAGAUCCCUACAAGUACAGUCUGUGGGUCAUAUUAAGAGUCACACCUUAAGAAACUACCAAUCUACGUUCCCUAGUGGCUGCUCCAGAGAGCAGUGUACAUGAUGCAGCUUCAGCUUCUGCGUAUCCAUGCCAACACUUGGCAUCCCCAGUCUCUUGGAUCAUGGGCAUUAUGGCUGGGGUUUGCUGGAAUCACAUUGUUAUUUAAUUUGCAUCUCUCUAAUUAAUGACUAAAGAUACUGGGCAUGUUUCCACAUCCUUCCGAGCCACUGGUACAUCUUUAGGGAAAUACCUGUCCAGCUCACUCUUGCCUAUUUUAACUGUGCUAUUUGUCAUCUUAGCAUCCAGUUGGAAGAACUCUGCAUCUGGAAACGUGUUGCUCAUCACAUAUCUGAUGUGUUAACAUGUCCUCUUAUUUGGUGGCUUAUCUUUUCAUUUUUAUAAUUGUGCCUUUGGAAGCUCAAUGCUUCUAAAUUUUUAUCAGUUAUGAAACAUGCACAGCGUCAUUUACCCAAUCCAAGGACACAAGAAUUUUCUCAUUUUCUUUGAGAAAUUUUAUACUUUUAGCUAUUAUAUCUAGGACCAAGACUCUUUAAUUAUCUUGACGAUGUAAUUAAAUUUAAUUAUGUUGAUACUGAUGCUGUGAGAAAAGGUGUCUCAGUUCACAUUUCUGCCUGUGGUUGUCUACGGAACACACACCACUUGAUAAACGUAUAUGCCUUCUAUUUAGAAUUGGCCUGGACCUUGUCAGAGCUCAACGUGUCAGAUUACACAUAGAGGAUCUUUCUGGAUACACACGCAUCUCCUCUGAUGUCUGUAGGUGUAUGUUCACCUGACUGCUGUACCUGUGUUUGGCCCCUUGCUGUUGAGACUCUGCUUGGAACUUUAAACAAAAUGAAGGGUGCCU
Mus musculus (house mouse) is the source of this 2030-nucleotide long non-coding RNA. RefSeq annotates it as predicted gene, 36674. The transcript has 4 exons. The record is from RefSeq and is a predicted model, not a curated record. Lineage: Eukaryota; Metazoa; Chordata; Mammalia; Rodentia; Muridae.